This is a long non-coding RNA of Prinia subflava (tawny-flanked prinia), 500 nucleotides long. RefSeq lists it as uncharacterized. The record is from RefSeq and is a predicted model, not a curated record. Lineage: Eukaryota; Metazoa; Chordata; Aves; Passeriformes; Cisticolidae. The transcript has 3 exons.
GUGCUACCAGUUCUGCAGGCACUGAAGAGGGUGUAUGUCCUGGUUUUGAAACAGGAGGGGUGGAUGGCCAUGAAAAUGUCUAUAUUCAGGGAACCCUGCCUUGUCAGGGGCUCGGCUCUCAAGGUGCUGAGCCCCUCUGUGAGGGUGAGGGCUCUCUCUCCCCAGUGUCAAUGGCCACAGAGAACACUCCCCAUCCUUUGGGAAUGUCCAACACAUUCCAGAAGUGGCAAGCGCCUCCCGGUACUGGAUGUGGCAGAAAUGCACAGAGCAGACCAAGGUUUUGCAUUUGGACCAGACUGCUUUGAAGGACGUGAGGAAGUUCAUUAUGCUGGAUGUGAGCCCGCUCCUGCUUUGACUGAAGGUUCCUGCUUGGGGAGGAGCAGCCAGGGGCAGAGUUGGGGCAGGACUCACCAUCCAACACCAUCCGAUGGACCACCUGCUACACAGCCUGAAGACUCAGACUGCCUGUAGGUCCUGGAGAUGGUUACAGUGAUUUCAUA